AAACAGAAUAAGUACGGAAAUUAUAGCAUGAGAGCACAAAAACCAUCAGGAAUAUUCAUUGAUGAAUUUCGAUAGAAAAGAGAGGGCAAUACCACUAAGCUACCUUGUAUACCCACAGUAAUAUUCUAAGACCUAGAAAUUAUAACAAGGGAAAUCAAAUCAUAAUUAAAAUGAAAAAAGAUCAUAAAAUUGUGGCAGCCAUCAUUGUAGGUCAGGACAUAGGAUAACACAAAACAGGCACACUCAACAAACUUCACAGACAAGCAAACAUGUAUAUAUGAAAG
RNAcentral lists this unclassified non-coding RNA (284 nucleotides) under Hevea brasiliensis (rubber tree). The record is from RNAcentral. Lineage: Eukaryota; Viridiplantae; Streptophyta; Magnoliopsida; Malpighiales; Euphorbiaceae.